AGCAGCCGCGGUAAUUCCAGCUCCAAUAGCGUAUAUUAAAGUUGUUGCAGUUAAAAAGCUCGUAGUUGAAUUUCGGGAUCAGUACGCUGGUCAUGCCUUUGGUAUGCACUGGUGUCACUGGUUUCUCCCUUCUGAAGAUCCGUAAUGUCAUUAAUUUGGUGUCGCGGGGAAUCAGGACUGUUACUUUGAAAAAUUAGAGUGUUUAAAGCAGGCUCACGCUUGAAUACAUUAGCAUGGAAUAAUGAAAUAGGACGUUUGACCCUAUUUUGUUGGUUUCUAGGAUCGACGUAAUGAUUAAUAGGGAUAGUUGGGGGCAUUAGUAUUCAAUUGUCAGAGGUGAAAUUCUUGGAUUUAUUGAAGACUAACUACUGCGAAAGCAUUUGCCAAGGAUGUUUUCAUUAAUCAAGAACGAAAGUUAGGGGAUCGAAGACGAUCAGAUACCGUCGUAGUCUUAACCAUAAACUAUGCCGACUAGGGAUCGGAUGAUGUUAAUUUUAUAAUGA
This 503-nucleotide ribosomal RNA is filed under the name uncultured Glomus. Its description in RNAcentral is "SSU rRNA". It matches the Rfam family "Eukaryotic small subunit ribosomal RNA", at positions 569 to 1077 of the family's 1831-position model. The record is from RNAcentral. Lineage: Eukaryota; Fungi; Glomeromycota; Glomeromycetes; Glomerales; Glomeraceae.